UGAAUUUUGAAGGGCCGCGGUAUUCCUGACCGUGCGAAGGUAGCAUAAUCAUUAGUCUUUUAAUUAAAGGCUCGUAUGAAUGGUUGGACGAGAGAUAAACUGUUUCAGAUAAGUAGUUUGAACUUAACUUUUAAGUGAAAAGGCUUAAAUACCUCAAAAAGACGAUAAGACCCUAUAAAUCUUAACAUUAAGCUUUAUGUUAUUCUAAUUUAUAAGUUUAAAGAAAUUUAUAAUAAAAAUGUUAUGUUGGGGCAACAAAGAUAUAAUACAGUUAGCUGUUUUAACAUUCACACAAAAAUCAUUGACUUUUUAGAUCCUUACUAAAGAUUCCAAGAUUAAGUUACUUUAGGGAUAACAGCGUUAUUCUUUUCAAGAGUCCUCAUCGAAAAAAGAGUUUGCGACCUCGAUGUUGAAUUAGAAAAUCU
RNAcentral lists this ribosomal RNA (425 nucleotides) under Calcinus tubularis. RNAcentral's name for it is "partial 16S ribosomal RNA". It matches the Rfam family "Archaeal large subunit ribosomal RNA", at positions 1994 to 2616 of the family's 2987-position model. The record is from RNAcentral. Lineage: Eukaryota; Metazoa; Arthropoda; Malacostraca; Decapoda; Diogenidae.